UACGUAGGGUCCGAGCGUUGUCCGGAAUUACUGGGCGUAAAGAGCUCGUAGGUGGUUUGUCGCGUUGUUCGUGAAAACUCACAGCUUAACUGUGGGCGUGCGGGCGAUACGGGCAGACUAGAGUUCGGUAGGGGAGUCUGGAAUUCCUGGUGUAGCGGUGAAAUGCGCAGAUAUCAGGAGGAACACCGAUGGCGAAGGCAGGUCUCUGGGCAUUAACUGACGCUGAGGAGCGAAAAGCGUGGGGAGCGAACAGG
Molecule: ribosomal RNA, 254 nt
Filed under: uncultured bacterium
Lineage: Bacteria
Description: partial 16S ribosomal RNA
Rfam family: Bacterial small subunit ribosomal RNA
Source: RNAcentral